RNAcentral lists this ribosomal RNA (253 nucleotides) under uncultured bacterium. RNAcentral describes it as "partial 16S ribosomal RNA". It matches the Rfam family "Bacterial small subunit ribosomal RNA", at positions 524 to 776 of the family's 1533-position model. The record is from RNAcentral.
UACGAGUGCCCCAAGCGUUAUCCGGAAUCAUUGGGCGUAAAGGGUGUGUAGGUGGUCUAGUUAGUCUUCUGUUAAAUUCUUCGGCUUAACCGGGGGCAUGCAGAGGAAACGGCUAGACUCGAGGAUGCAAGAGGCAAACGGAACUCAUAGUGGAGGGGUGAAAUCCGUUGAUAUUAUGGGGAACACCAAAUGCGAAGGCAGUUUGCUGGUGCACUCCUGACACUGAAACACGAAAGCGUGGGUAGCGAAUGGG